AACUGAUACUACCUGCGGGAACCUGCGGAAGGAUCAUUACCGAGUGAGGGCCCUCUGGGUCCAACCUCCCACCCGUGUUUAACUACCUUGUUGCUUCGGCGGGCCCGCCACUUGUGGCCGCCGGGGGGCACCCGCCCCCGGGCCCGCGCCCGCCGAAGACACCAUUGAACGCUGUUUGAAGAAUGCAGUCUGAGCUUCUUAGCUAAAUCAGUUAAAACUUUCAACAACGGAUCUCUAGAU
Molecule: unclassified non-coding RNA, 240 nt
Filed under: soil metagenome
Description: partial contains 5.8S ribosomal RNA, internal transcribed spacer 2, and large subunit ribosomal RNA
Source: RNAcentral